Molecule: small RNA, 479 nt
Filed under: Pongo abelii (Sumatran orangutan)
Lineage: Eukaryota; Metazoa; Chordata; Mammalia; Primates; Hominidae
Description: processed transcript
Source: RNAcentral
GAACACUAGCUGUCCUCUUUAUGUUCUGUUAAUUGCCAGCAUUUACUUUUUUCUCUAAUGAUAAUAGCUGUUAACAGGACUAUGUGUUUUUCAGCUUGGAACUGCAGUUGGCUUUUUGCUACCACCAGUUUUAGUACCCAACACACAGAAUGACACAAAUCUCCUGGCUUGUAAUAUCAGCACCAUGUUUUAUGGAACAUCAGCUGUUGCCACACUUUUAUUUAUUUUAACAGCAAUUGGCCACUCCAGCAAAGCACGGCUGCCACCACUCGUCACUGAGUCGUCUCGGCUGAGCCUGUCUCUUGAAGCAGUCAGUCAAAAUCAGCUGCAAGCAGCCAUCAUCAGUUUGGAAGAAGCUUUGGGAAGGAUACAAAGAGAUUCAGGAAAAGACAACAGACAUCCUAACAGUACAAGAUCAGAUAGAAUGAAAGGAAGAGGAGGAUUUGCAACUUAAACCUUUUAUGUGUACCAGCCUUCCA